This 261-nucleotide ribosomal RNA is filed under the name uncultured archaeon. Its description in RNAcentral is "partial 16S ribosomal RNA". It matches the Rfam family "Archaeal small subunit ribosomal RNA", at positions 748 to 1008 of the family's 1478-position model. The record is from RNAcentral.
CAGCCGUAAACUAUGCUCGCUAGGUGUCAGGGACGGUGCGACCGUUUCUGGUGCCGCAGGGAAGCCGUGAAGCGAGCCACCUGGGAAGUACGGUCGCAAGGCUGAAACUUAAAGGAAUUGGCGGGGGAGCACCACAACGGGUGGAGCUUGCGGUUUAAUUGGAUUCAACGCCGGAAAUCUUACCGGGACCGACAGCAACAUGAAGGCCAGGCUGAAGACUUUGCCGGAUUAGCUGAGAGGUGGUGCAUGGCGUCAGUGACU